CACGUAGGGGACGAGCGUUGUCCGGAAUCAUUGGGCGUAAAGCGCGUGUAGGCGGCCCGGUAAGUCCGCUGUGAAAGUCCAGGGCUCAACCCUGGGAUGCCGGUGGAUACUGUCGGGCUCGAGUCCGGAAGAGGCGAGUGGAAUUCCUGGUGUAGCGGUGAAAUGCGCAGAUAUCAGGAGGAACACCAAUGGCGAAGGCAGCUCGCUGGGACGUGACUGACGCUGAGACGCGAAAGCGUGGGGAGCAAACAGG
Molecule: ribosomal RNA, 253 nt
Filed under: uncultured bacterium
Lineage: Bacteria
Description: partial 16S ribosomal RNA
Rfam family: Bacterial small subunit ribosomal RNA
Source: RNAcentral